CUUUACUGUAGCUUUACAUUGGACUUUGAACAGAUCUGUGUAGGAUAGGUGGGAGGCUUUGAAGCGGUGCCGCUAGGUGUCGUGGAGCCAACGUUGAAAUACCACCCUGGUGUGUUUGAGGUUCUAACCUUGGCCCGUUAUCCGGGUUGGGGACAGUGUAUGGUGGGCAGUUUGACUGGGGCGGUCUCCUCCCAAAGUGUAACGGAGGAGUUCGAAGGUACGCUAGGCACGGUCGGAAAUCGUGCUGAUAGUGCAUUGGCAUAAGCGUGCUUGACUGUGAGACGGACAUGUCGAGCAGGUACGAAAGUAGGACAAAGUGAUCCGGUGGUUCUGUAUGGAAGAGCCAUCGCUCAACGGAUAAAAGGUA
Molecule: ribosomal RNA, 367 nt
Filed under: uncultured organism
Description: bacterial LSU rRNA
Rfam family: Bacterial large subunit ribosomal RNA
Source: RNAcentral